Non-coding RNA from Myotis davidii, 75 nucleotides. The record is from Rfam. NCBI's taxonomy places the organism in Eukaryota, Metazoa, Chordata, Mammalia, Chiroptera, Vespertilionidae.
GGUAGUUCUCAAGUGACACACCCUGGAAUCGGGCUCCCUCCUCUCUGGUUCCAGGUGUGUCACCUGAGAACCACA